Molecule: ribosomal RNA, 254 nt
Filed under: uncultured bacterium
Lineage: Bacteria
Description: partial 16S ribosomal RNA
Rfam family: Bacterial small subunit ribosomal RNA
Source: RNAcentral
UACGGAGGGUGCGAGCGUUUGUCCGGAAUCAUUGGGCGUAAAGGGCGCGUAGGUGGCGGCUUAAGCGUGCGGUGAAAGCUCGGGGCUCAACCCCGAGUCGGCCGUGCGAACUGAGUCGCUUGAGCACUGUAGAGGCAGGCGGAAUUCCGGGUGUAGCGGUGGAAUGCGUAGAGAUCCGGAAGAACACCGGUGGCGAAGGCGGCCUGCUGGGCAGUAGCUGACACUGAGGCGCGACAGCGUGGGGAGCAAACAGG